This 157-nucleotide microRNA precursor is filed under the name Pelobates cultripes (western spadefoot toad). Lineage: Eukaryota; Metazoa; Chordata; Amphibia; Anura; Pelobatidae. The record is from RNAcentral.
GCAGACACAUUCCAGCCAAUCAGCAGCAGACCCUCCCUCCCAGACCCUCCCACCUCCUGGACAGCAUCCAUUUUGAAGCUGCAUUCUUAGUGAGCUGUCCAGGAGAUGGGAGGGUCUGGGAGGGAGGGUCUGCUGCUGAUUGGCUGGAAUGUAUCUG